RNAcentral lists this ribosomal RNA (492 nucleotides) under uncultured bacterium. RNAcentral describes it as "partial 16S ribosomal RNA". It matches the Rfam family "Bacterial small subunit ribosomal RNA", at positions 29 to 507 of the family's 1533-position model. The record is from RNAcentral.
AGUGAACGCCGGCGGUAGGCCUAACACAUGCAAGUCGAACGGCAGCACAGUAAGAGCUUGCUCUUACGGGUGGCGAGUGGCGGACGGGUGAGGAAUACAUCGGAAUCUACUUUUUCGUGGGGGAUAACGUAGGGAAACUUACGCUAAUACCGCAUACGACCUACGGGUGAAAGCAGGGGAUCUUCGGACCUUGCGCGAUUGAAUGAGCCGAUGUCGGAUUAGCUAGUUGGCGGGGUAAGGGCCCACCAAGGCGACGAUGCGUAGCCGGUCUGAGAGGAUGAUCAGCCACACUGGAACUGAGACACGGUCCAGACUCCUACGGGAGGCAGCAGUGGGGAAUAUUGGACAAUGGGCGCAAGCCUGAUCCAGCCAUACCGCGUGGGUGAAGAAGGCCUUCGGGUUGUAAAGCCCCGUUGUUGGGAAAGAAAAGCAGCAGGUUAAUACCCCGCUGUUCUGACGGUACCCAAAGAAUAAGCACCGGCUAACUUCGUG